RNAcentral lists this long non-coding RNA (292 nucleotides) under Carica papaya (papaya). RNAcentral describes it as "long non-coding RNA (CPAP_LNC007922)". Lineage: Eukaryota; Viridiplantae; Streptophyta; Magnoliopsida; Brassicales; Caricaceae. The record is from RNAcentral.
GAGACUAGGAAUCCUGGUCCGAAGGGAAUUCCCAUCCCUCGUAUGGACUUGGUUACCUAUCAGAUAUGUGUAGAUCGAUUGGCCAACAAAAAUAGGAAGGUAUCAGCAUCAUUGGAAUAUUUAGAAGAGUCUACAUUCAGGAGAUUUUAUGCUGUAGGAAAGAAACAGACAGGAUCUGUGAAAGCCCAUGGGUCACACACUAGAUUGCACGUAGGUGCAAGGCGCCCAGCCAUGCUAUCACAAGAGCCCUGCACACGUAGAUACCCCAUCCUGUGCAGGUAGGAGAAGGCCA